UACGGAGGGGGCUAGCGUUGUUCGGAAUUACUGGGCGUAAAGCGGGUGUAGGCGGAUCUCUAAGUCGGAGGUGAAAGCCCGGGGCUUAACCUCGGAAUGGCCUUCGAUACUGGAGAUCUCGAGUUCAGGAGAGGUGAGUGGAAUUCCGAGUGUAGAGGUGAAAUUCGUAGAUAUUCGGAGGAACACCAGAGGCGAAGGCGGCUCACUGGACUGAUACUGACGCUGAAACCCGAAAGCGUGGGGAGCAAACAGG
This 253-nucleotide ribosomal RNA is filed under the name uncultured bacterium. RNAcentral's name for it is "partial 16S ribosomal RNA". It matches the Rfam family "Bacterial small subunit ribosomal RNA", at positions 524 to 776 of the family's 1533-position model. The record is from RNAcentral.